RNAcentral lists this ribosomal RNA (320 nucleotides) under uncultured bacterium. RNAcentral describes it as "bacterial SSU rRNA". It matches the Rfam family "Bacterial small subunit ribosomal RNA", at positions 27 to 342 of the family's 1533-position model. The record is from RNAcentral.
GGACGAACGCUGGCGGCGCGCUUUAUACAUGCAAGUCGAACGUGAAGCUCGGAGCUUGCUCCGGGUGGAAAGUGGCGAACGGGUGAGUAUCACGUGAGAAACCUGGACCCCGAAGACCGGGAUAACACCGGGAAACCGGUGCUAAUACCGGAUGCCCUCACCGGAUCGCAUGGUCUGGUGAGGAAAUGGAUUCCGCUUCGGGGAUGGUCUCGCGGCCUAUCAGCUUGUGGUGGGGUAAUGGCCCACCAAGGCUUCGACGGGUAGCUGGUCUGAGAGGAUGUCCAGCCACACUGGGACUGAGACACGGCCCAGACUCCUAC